CUGCAGAGCAUGCUCCAACUCAGACAGCCAGCCCCGAUCAGAAGGAGGAGGAGUGCAGCCCUACCCUGAAAGGCACCUGCCAAAGGGGCCAGAGAAGACUCCCUGAAGGAACAGAACUUUUCACCAGGACUCUCCCAGAAUUGGACUCUAUCUCCCAGAGGCUACUGAAGCCAAACCAGGAGAUUUCUAAGGAAGCCUGCCUUAGCCUCGCUGUGCUGCCGACAGGGAGCCACCCGAGCCUGCACUUGAUAGUAACAGAAGAAGGACAAAGGAAGCUGUGUCCACUCAAAAGGAUUGCAGGAUAGAAAAUACAGGUGGGAGUCCUUAAAAGGGCAACAACCCUUGUCUUCUGUCAGCUGGCAAGGACCCACCACAUCAAGCUGCAGUGAGCAUAUUUGGUCCAGAUUCUUAAACAGACCUCAUCACUGAAAGAAGAGCAGUAGGGGCCUCACCUGAAGACCACUCGGAAACAUAAGCUAGUACAGAAUGAAGCACUUUACACAAGUGCCUCUA
Molecule: long non-coding RNA, 513 nt
Organism: Mauremys reevesii (Reeves's turtle)
Lineage: Eukaryota; Metazoa; Chordata; Testudines; Geoemydidae
Exons: 4
Source: RefSeq, a predicted model, not a curated record